CCAGGAGGCUGGGCAGCCGCGGGUGCGUAAGCACGCGAGGAAAGUCCGGGCUCCACGAAGUAAGGGUGGCGGGUAACGCCCGCCGUGGGCAACCACAGGGAAAGUGCCACAGAGAGUAUACCGCCGAUGGCCCCUAAAGGGCACAGGCACGGGUGAAAGGGUGCGGUAAGAGCGCACCGGGGCGUUGGUAACAGGGCCCGUCAUGGCAAACCCCACCCGGAGCAAGGCCGAAUAGGGAUCCCGCGCCAGAAAUGGCAGGAACGCUUCGUUCCGAGGAGGUCCGGGUUGGCUGCUGGAGCGGUCUGGCAACAGGCCGCCUAGAUGAAUGGUUGCCGCCCGUCGCAAGACGGGAACAGAACCCGGCUUACAGGCCUCCUGGCAUC
Molecule: RNase P RNA, 383 nt
Filed under: Erythrobacter sp.
Lineage: Bacteria; Pseudomonadati; Pseudomonadota; Alphaproteobacteria; Sphingomonadales; Erythrobacteraceae
Also listed under: 1 other name
Description: RNase P RNA component class A
Rfam family: Bacterial RNase P class A
About the family: Ribonuclease P (RNase P) is a ubiquitous endoribonuclease, found in archaea, bacteria and eukarya as well as chloroplasts and mitochondria. Its best characterised activity is the generation of mature 5'-ends of tRNAs by cleaving the 5'-leader elements of precursor-tRNAs.
Source: RNAcentral